Anoplophora glabripennis (Asian longhorned beetle) is the source of this 258-nucleotide long non-coding RNA. RefSeq lists it as uncharacterized. The record is from RefSeq and is a predicted model, not a curated record. Lineage: Eukaryota; Metazoa; Arthropoda; Insecta; Coleoptera; Cerambycidae. The transcript is spliced from 3 exons.
CCUUUUAAAACAGUCGUACAAGCGAGUUCAACUGUGAACAUUAUCAGACAAUAGGCUGUGUUUUUCAAGUAGUACCUACCAAUAUCCGAAAAUGAAUUUCCUCAGAGUACUCUUCUUGGUGGCUGUGGCGGUUGCCACUUUAGGCAGCUACCACGUACAGGCUAAAAUGUCAAUAGAGCGGCGGAAGCCGAGAAAAUAGGUACCUAAUAUCUUUAUUGAAAUUUUUACGUCAACCAGAAAUAAAACGUCAAAUUUGCA